This 22-nucleotide non-coding RNA is filed under the name Arabidopsis thaliana (thale cress). Lineage: Eukaryota; Viridiplantae; Streptophyta; Magnoliopsida; Brassicales; Brassicaceae. The record is from RNAcentral.
AACCGCAACCGAUCUUAAAAGC